UAGGGAAUCUUCUGCAAUGGACGAGAGUCUGACCGAGCAACGCCGCGUGAGUGAAGAAGGUUUUCGGAUCGUAAAACUCUGUUGUUAGAGAAGAACAAGGACGUUAGUAACUGAACGUCCCCUGACGGUAUCUAACCAGAAAGCCACGGCUAACUACGUGCCAGCAGCCGCGGUAAUACGUAGGUGGCAAGCGUUGUCCGGAUUUAUUGGGCGUAAAGCGAGCGCAGGCGGUUUCUUAAGUCUGAUGUGAAAGCCCCCGGCUCAACCGGGGAGGGUCAUUGGAAACUGGGAGACUUGAGUGCAGAAGAGGAGAGUGGAAUUCCAUGUGUAGCGGUGAAAUGCGUAGAUAUAUGGAGGAACACCAGUGGCGAAGGCGGCUCUCUGGUCUGUAACUGACGCUGAGGCUCGAAAGCGUGGGGAGCAAACAGG
RNAcentral lists this ribosomal RNA (429 nucleotides) under Gemmatimonadota bacterium. RNAcentral describes it as "Gemmatimonadetes bacterium partial 16S ribosomal RNA". It matches the Rfam family "Bacterial small subunit ribosomal RNA", at positions 355 to 776 of the family's 1533-position model. The record is from RNAcentral. Lineage: Bacteria; Pseudomonadati; Gemmatimonadota.